AUGCGCAUGUUGAGAUGGAUGUGUGGCCACACAAGGAAGGACCGAGUCCGGAAUGAUGAUAUACGAGAUAGAGUUGGGGUAGCGCCGAUUGAAGAGAAGCUUGUCCAACAUCGUAUGAGAUGGUUUUGGCAUAUUCAGCGCAGGCCUCCAGAAGCGCCAGUGCAUAGCGGACGGCUAAAGCGUGCCGAUAAUGUCAAGAGAGGUCGGGGUAGACCGAACUUUACAUGGGAGGAGUCCGUAAAGAGGGAUAUGAAGGAUUGGAGUAUGGACAAAGAACUAGCCAUGGACGUGUGCGUGGAAGCUUGA
RNAcentral lists this ribosomal RNA (306 nucleotides) under Triticum aestivum (bread wheat). RNAcentral's name for it is "partial small subunit ribosomal RNA". The record is from RNAcentral. Lineage: Eukaryota; Viridiplantae; Streptophyta; Magnoliopsida; Poales; Poaceae.